GUCUCUGUACCGCAUUCGAUAGCGCGCGCGCGCGUUGGACUUCUAAUCCAAAGGUCGUGGGUUCGAAUCCCACCGGGGAUG
This is a non-coding RNA of Trichonephila clavipes, 81 nucleotides long. The record is from the annotation of a GenBank genome assembly. Lineage: Eukaryota; Metazoa; Arthropoda; Arachnida; Araneae; Nephilidae.